Molecule: long non-coding RNA, 1447 nt
Filed under: Homo sapiens (human)
Lineage: Eukaryota; Metazoa; Chordata; Mammalia; Primates; Hominidae
Description: non-protein coding HAS2-AS1:16
Source: RNAcentral
GUCUCUGGUUCAAUGGGCUGCUCGAAGCCAGGACUGGGUAAUUCUUUCCAGACGUCUUGACUUCUCCUUCCCCGCCGUUGUUGCCCUUCUGCCUCCUCCAACUUAAGGGGGUCUUAACAAGAUCUUCUGAGGGGUGGACUUCUUUGGAACUCGACAGGACCUUGAAGACUGGGUUCUUAGUCCUUAUCACAUAUAUGGGCUAUAAUGAAUAAGUCUAAACAGAAAAGUCGAAUAAACUGGAAAUGAUGCUUUCAUCACGUCGCACAAGAAAAACACAUUUGUUGUUUCUCGCCUCUUGUAAUUCAUGACCCAUAAGACAAAAGUAAAAUGUUCUCUGACUGCAAAUGGAUGUAAAAACUGAUUAUACAGCUACACAUUUCUGUCAUCCUCCCAUCUCUACCCCAAAGAAAGAGGAGCUGUUUGGAUCAGAAGAUGACAUCCUUUCACCCAUCCCUUUCAGGUUUUGACAUCCUAAAAUGUACCUUAUGGAACCCAUACCUGUUAUGUUUUCACCUGUACAAGGCAACAGAGAAAACAUGGUAGUUUUUACUUGAGUAGAUGUGACUUAGCAAUAUGUUGUUGCUGACCUCCAUCCCACAGCACAAAACAUAUGUUUAUAUGUCUGACAGACAAAGUAUCCAGAACAAGGAUUUAGUACCUUCAUAAUCCUCUGUAUAUGUGGUUCUAGAACUUUUGGUAAAGAAACUCUUUAUACUCUUAUUAAUUAUUGAGAACCUCAAAAAAAGUUUAUAUGUUAUAUGUAUCAAUAUUUACCACAUUAGACAUUAAAGCUGACUUAAAAAGUUAAAAUACUUAAGUCAUUUGAAGUAAUAAUAAAUGCAGUUACAUACCAACUUAAUAACAUUUUGCGAAAAUAGCUAUUUUUCAAAACCUAAAGUGAGAAAAGUGGCAGUUUUCCAUUUUUGCAAAUCUCUUUGCUGUCUAGCUGAUAGAAGACAGCUGGAUUCUCCUAUUUGCUUUUGCAUUCAAUUGUUGUUUUGAUUGAAGUAUAUGAAAAAAAAUCUGGUGUCAUACACAUAUAUAAUUGGGAAAUGGAAGAGUAUUUACACAGGCUUUUUUAGAUAUUCUUCCUUUAUACUACAUCAAAACUUGAUAAGUUGCAAUGUUGUGAAUUGGCCCAGGGCUUGGCCCUCUGAAGAUUUGCUGAAAAUCACUGACAUGAAGUAGAUUAAUAGGAUAAAAGGCAUAUACAUUUAUUUAAUGUGUAUACACAGCGGCCUUUAGAAUGAAGACCCAAAGAUACAGAAGAAAUUGUCUGUUUUUAUGCUUAAGUUUAACAAAGAAUGGGCAGCCGUGUAGAGAUAGGAUAGGACAAAAAGGGCAUAAUCUAAUGCUAGCUGACUGAGUGAGGAAGCCCAGCAAGGCCUGUCAGUGUCUCCUCAGUAUGAGUGAAUUUUGUGUACUCUGAUAAUACAUUAAAAUCUGU